AGCUAUACAUGCAGUCGAGCGGACAGAAGGGAGCUUGCUCCCGGAUGUUAGCGGCGGACGGGUGAGUAACACGUGGGUAACCUGCCUGUAAGACUGGGAUAACUCCGGGAAACCGGAGCUAAUACCGGAUAGUUCCUUGAACCGCAUGGUUCAAGGAUGAAAGACGGUUUCGGCUGUCACUUACAGAUGGACCCGCGGCGCAUUAGCUAGUUGGUGAGGUAACGGCUCACCAAGGCGACGAUGCGUAGCCGACCUGAGAGGGUGAUCGGCCACACUGGGACUGAGACACGGCCCAGACUCCUACGGGAGGCAGCAGUAGGGAAUCUUCCGCAAUGGACGAAAGUCUGACGGAGCAACGCCGCGUGAGUGAUGAAGGUUUUCGGAUCGUAAAGCUCUGUUGUUAGGGAAGAACAAGUGCAAGAGUAACUGCUUGCACCUUGACGGUACCUAACCAGAAAGCCACGGCUAACUACGUGCCAGCAGCCGCGGUAAUACGUAGGUGGCAAGCGUUGUCCGGAAUUAUUGGGCGUAAAGGGCUCGCAGGCGGUUUCUUAAGUCUGAUGUGAAAGCCCCCGGCUCAACCGGGGAGGGUCAUUGGAAACUGGGAAACUUGAGUGCAGAAGAGGAGAGUGGAAUUCCACGUGUAGCGGUGAAAUGCGUAGAGAU
Molecule: ribosomal RNA, 666 nt
Filed under: Bacillus aerophilus
Lineage: Bacteria; Bacillati; Bacillota; Bacilli; Caryophanales; Bacillaceae
Description: bacterial SSU rRNA
Rfam family: Bacterial small subunit ribosomal RNA
Source: RNAcentral